RNAcentral lists this ribosomal RNA (527 nucleotides) under Yarrowia sp. Its description in RNAcentral is "partial large subunit ribosomal RNA". It matches the Rfam family "Eukaryotic large subunit ribosomal RNA", at positions 50 to 665 of the family's 3401-position model. Lineage: Eukaryota; Fungi; Ascomycota; Dipodascomycetes; Dipodascales. The record is from RNAcentral.
GCGGAGGAAAAGAAACCAACAGGGAUUACCUCAGUAACGGCGAGUGAAGCGGUAAAAGCUCAAAUUUGAAACCCUCGGGAUUGUAAUUUGAAGAUUUGGCAUUGGGAAAAGCUAACCCAAGUUGCUUGGAAUAGUACGUCGUAGAGGGUGAGAACCCCGUGUGGCUAACCGUUUCCCAUGUAUUGCCUUAUCAAAGAGUCGAGUUGUUUGGGAAUGCAGCUCUAAGUGGGUGGUAAACUCCAUCUAAAGCUAAAUAUUGGCGAGAGACCGAUAGCGAACAAGUACUGUGAAGGAAAGAUGAAAAGAACUUUGAAAAGAGAGUGAAAUAGUAUGUGAAAUUGUUGAUAGGGAAGGGAAUGAGUGUAGCGUGGGUGAGGUUUCAAUUAUCUCUCGAGGUGAUGUACUGCCAAACCCGAGUCAAGGAGUGGGAAAAAGGGGUUAUAAAUGCAAACUCUCGAGUCUGCACCUAACCCCCGCCCUCCACUCCUCGACAUAAUACACCCAUUCCACCCGUCUUGAACCACGGA